Molecule: ribosomal RNA, 1920 nt
Filed under: human gut metagenome
Description: bacterial LSU rRNA
Rfam family: Bacterial large subunit ribosomal RNA
Source: RNAcentral
CCCGGCAGGGGUUCCGCCGACGGGGUUGCAGGGCCGCGCAUCCGGGGGCUGCCGCCCCCGGGCGCAGGUCCGGCUGGGGAGCGGAACGGCAUGGGAGGGCCGGCCGCAGCGGGUGACAGCCCCGUACGCGAACCCAGACCGGACGGCGCGACGCGGUCCCUGAGUAGGGCCGGGCACGUGAAACCCGGUCCGAACCUGGGUGGACCACCAUCCAAGCCUGAGUACUACCCUGUGACCGAUAGCGCACCAGUACCGUGAGGGAAAGGUGAAAAGCACCCCGGGAGGGGAGUGAAACAGUACCUGAAACCGUGCGCCCACGAGCAGUCGGAGCACCCUUUAAGGGUGUGACGGCGUGCCUUUUGUAGAAUGAGCCAGCGAGUCGCUGGCGCGGGGCGAGGUUAACCGAAAGGGAGCCGAAGCGAAAGCGAGCCUUAACAGGGCGACUUGAGUCCCGCGCCGCGGACGCGAAGCCGGGUGAGCUAUCCGUGGGCAGGCUGAAGCGGGGGUAAGACCCCGUGGAGGGCCGAACGCACGUCGGUUGAAAACGGCGGCGAUGACCUGCGGAUAGGGGUGAAAGGCCAAUCAAACCCGGAGAUAUCUCGUUCUCCCCGAAAUAGCUUUAGGGCUAGCGUCGCGCGUUCACCGCCGGAGGUAGAGCACCGGAUGGACGAGGGGGCUUCGCCGCCUACCGAAUCCAACCGAACUCCGAAUGCCGGCGGCCCAGAGCGCGGCAGUCAGAGCAUGUGGGCUAAGCUGUGUGCUCGAGAGGGAAACAGCCCGGACCGCCCGCUAAGGUCCCCAAGUUCCAGCCGAGUGGCAAAGGAUGUGCGUCCGCCCAGACAACCAGGAUGUUGGCUUAGAAGCAGCCAUCCAUUCAAAGAGUGCGUAACAGCUCACUGGUCGAGUGGACAUGCGCCGACAAUACACGGGGCUAAGCUGGACACCGAAGCGGCGGGAUUUUAAUUCAUUAGAAUCGGUAGGGGAGCUUCCCAUGGGCGGAGAAGCCGGAGGGCGACCGACGGUGGAGCGCAUGGGAGUGAGAAUGCUGGCAUGAGUAGCGAGAGACGAGAGAGUAACUCGUCCGCCGUGAACCCGAGGUUUCCUGGGCAAGGCUAAUCCUCCCAGGGUCAGUCGGGGGCUAAGGCGAGGCCGGUAGGCGUAGCCGACGCGCAGCAGGCAGACAUUCCUGCACCGCGCACGCGGCGCUACGACCGACGGGGCGACGGAUGGGGGUGGCUCGGCGGGGUUCUGGACGUCCCCGUGAUGGAGCGCGGCCCGCGGACCAGGGAAAUCCGGUCCGCAUUGAGGGCGAGGCUCCGGACGAAGCGACUGAGCGAAGCGAGUGAGCCCGAGGUCCCUAGAAAAACCCCUAGGCAGGCGCGUGCGCGCCCGUACCGCAAACCGACACAGGUGGGUGGGUAGAACAUACCGAGGCGAUCGGGUCAACCAUGGUCAAGGAACUCGGCACAAUGGCCCCGUAACUUCGGGAGAAGGGGUGCCCGCGCGUACGUGAACGGACUUGCUCCGGGAGCGGAGGCGGGCCGCAGUGGAGAGGCCCAAGCGACUGUUUACCAAAAACACAGGACUCUGCAGAAGCCGCAAGGCGACGUAUAGGGUCUGACGCCUGCCCGGUGCCGGAAGGUCACGCGGAGGAGUUAGCCGCAAGGCGAAGCCCCGAAGCCAAGCCCCGGUAAACGGCGGCCGUAACUAUAACGGUCCUAAGGUAGCGAAAUUCCUUGUCGGGUAAGUUCCGACCUGCACGAAAGGCGCAACGACUUGGGCGCUGUCUCGACCAUGGACCCGGUGAAAUUGCACUGGUCGUGAAGAUGCGACUUACCCGCGGAAGGACGGAAAGACCCCGUGAACCUUCACUGCAGCUUGGCAUUGGCCGCUGGUCCCGCGUGUAGAGGAUAGGCAGGA